Curvularia clavata is the source of this 95-nucleotide non-coding RNA. Lineage: Eukaryota; Fungi; Ascomycota; Dothideomycetes; Pleosporales; Pleosporaceae. The record is from the annotation of a GenBank genome assembly.
GCAUCGGUGGUUUAGUGGUAAAAUUAGCCGUUGCCAUUCAUCUCUUUGAGACGAGCGACGUCGGCUAGCCCCGGGUUCGAUUCCCGGCCGAUGCA